GAGCCUCUAGUAAAAUAGCAAUUACAUUGCCUUGUCAGGGCAAAAUUGUGGGUUGAAAUCCCACGUGUCUUA
RNAcentral lists this transfer RNA (72 nucleotides) under Chaetodontoplus mesoleucus (vermiculated angelfish). RNAcentral describes it as "tRNA-Asp". It matches the Rfam family "tRNA". From Rfam's summary of the family: Transfer RNA (tRNA) molecules are approximately 80 nucleotides in length. Their secondary structure includes four short double-helical elements and three loops (D, anti-codon, and T loops). Lineage: Eukaryota; Metazoa; Chordata; Actinopteri; Pomacanthidae. The record is from RNAcentral.